AGAGUUUGAUCCUGGCUCAGGAUGAACGCUGGCGGUAUGCUUUACACAUGCAAGUCAUACGGAAGUUAGUCUCGGCUAACUUCAGUGGCGGACGGGUGAGUAACACGUGAGAAUUCACCUUUAGGAGGGGGAUAACAGGGGGAAACACCUGCUAAAACCCCAUAUGCCUUCGGGUCAAAAGAGUAAUCUGCCUAAAGAGAAGCUCGCGGCUGAUUAGCUAGUUGGUAGGGUAAAGGCCUACCAAGGCGACGAUCAGUAGCUGGUCUGAGAGGACGAUCAGCCACACUGGAACUGAGACACGGUCCAGACUCCUACGGGAGGCGGCAGUGAGGAAUUUUCUGCAAUGGGCGAAAGCCUGACAGAGCAAUACCGCGUGAGGGAAGAAGGCUUACUGAGUUGUAAACCUCUGUUACCUAAGGAGGAAGAUCUGACGUUACUUAGGAGACGAAGCAUCGGCUAACUCCGUGCCAGCAGCCGCGGUAAGACGGAGGAUGCAAGUGUUAUCCGGAAUUACUGGGCGUAAAGCGUCUGCAGGUGGUUUCUUAAGUCCACUGUUAAACCUUGAGGCUCAACCUCAAUUCAGCAUUGGAAACUGGGAAACUUGAGUAUAGUAGGGGUAGAGGGAAUUUCCAGUGUAGCGGUGAAAUGCGUAGA
Molecule: ribosomal RNA, 654 nt
Filed under: uncultured bacterium
Lineage: Bacteria
Description: bacterial SSU rRNA
Rfam family: Bacterial small subunit ribosomal RNA
Source: RNAcentral